GUUUGAUCAUGGCUCAGAUUGAACGCUGGCGGCAGGCCUAACACAUGCAAGUCGAGCGGUAGAGAGAAGCUUGCUUCUCUUGAGAGCGGCGGACGGGUGAGUAAUGCCUAGGAAUCUGCCUGGUAGUGGGGGAUAACGUUCGGAAACGGACGCUAAUACCGCAUACGUCCUACGGGAGAAAGCAGGGGACCUUCGGGCCUUGCGCUAUCAGAUGAGCCUAGGUCGGAUUAGCUAGUUGGUGAGGUAAUGGCUCACCAAGGCGACGAUCCGUAACUGGUCUGAGAGGAUGAUCAGUCACACUGGAACUGAGACACGGUCCAGACUCCUACGGGAGGCAGCAGUGGGGAAUAUUGGACAAUGGGCGAAAGCCUGAUCCAGCCAUGCCGCGUGUGUGAAGAAGGUCUUCGGAUUGUAAAGCACUUUAAGUUGGGAGGAAGGGCAGUUAC
Molecule: ribosomal RNA, 446 nt
Filed under: Pseudomonas sp. 1g
Lineage: Bacteria; Pseudomonadati; Pseudomonadota; Gammaproteobacteria; Pseudomonadales; Pseudomonadaceae
Description: SSU rRNA
Rfam family: Bacterial small subunit ribosomal RNA
Source: RNAcentral